RNAcentral lists this ribosomal RNA (604 nucleotides) under uncultured Actinobacteridae bacterium. Its description in RNAcentral is "bacterial SSU rRNA". It matches the Rfam family "Bacterial small subunit ribosomal RNA", at positions 252 to 866 of the family's 1533-position model. Lineage: Bacteria; Bacillati; Actinomycetota; Actinomycetes. The record is from RNAcentral.
GUGGGGUAAUGGCCUACCAAGGCUUCGACGGGUAGCCGGCCUGAGAGGGUGACCGGCCACACUGGGACUGAGACACGGCCCAGACUCCUACGGGAGGCAGCAGUGGGGAAUAUUGGACAAUGGGCGGAAGCCUGAUCCAGCAACGCCGCGUGAGGGAUGACGGCCUUCGGGUUGUAAACCUCUUUCAGUAGGGACGAAGCGCAAGUGACGGUACCUACAGAAGAAGCACCGGCCAACUACGUGCCAGCAGCCGCGGUAAUACGUAGGGUGCGAGCGUUGUCCGGAAUUAUUGGGCGUAAAGGGCUCGUAGGCGGUUUGUCGCGUCGGGAGUGAAAACACUGGGCUUAACUCAGUGCUUGCUUCCGAUACGGGCAGACUAGAGGUAUUCAGGGGAGAACGGAAUUCCUGGUGUAGCGGUGAAAUGCGCAGAUAUCAGGAGGAACACCGGUGGCGAAGGCGGUUCUCUGGGAAUUACCUGACGCUGAGGAGCGAAAGUGUGGGGAGCGAACAGGAUUAGAUACCCUGGUAGUCCACACCGUAAACGUUGGGCGCUAGGUGUGGGGUCCAUUCCACGGAUUCCGUGCCGCAGCUAACGCAUUAAGCG